Non-coding RNA from Oryza sativa Japonica Group (Japanese rice), 233 nucleotides. The record is from RefSeq and is a predicted model, not a curated record. NCBI's taxonomy places the organism in Eukaryota, Viridiplantae, Streptophyta, Magnoliopsida, Poales, Poaceae.
ACUCCAAAAACCCGUCCUCAGUUCGGAUUGCAGGCUGCAACUCGCCUGCAUGAAGCAGGAAUCGCUAGUAAUCGCCGGUCAGCCAUACGGCGGUGAAUCCGUUCCCGGGCCUUGUACACACCGCCCGUCACACUAUAGGAGCUGGCCAUGUUUGAAGUCAUUACCCUUAACCGUAAGGAGGGGAAUGCCUAAGGCUAGGCUUGCGACUGGAGUGAAGAGAUCGGGAGAGCGGA